GAGGAUAUAGCGCAAGUGGUACAGUACAUGCUUAGCACGCAUAGGGUCCUGGGUUCAAUCCCCAGUACCUUCU
RNAcentral lists this transfer RNA (73 nucleotides) under Camelus bactrianus (Bactrian camel). It matches the Rfam family "tRNA". From Rfam's summary of the family: Transfer RNA (tRNA) molecules are approximately 80 nucleotides in length. The record is from Rfam by way of RNAcentral. Lineage: Eukaryota; Metazoa; Chordata; Mammalia; Artiodactyla; Camelidae. RNAcentral also lists the same sequence under 1 other name.